UACAGAGGGUGCGAGCGUUAAUCGGAAUUACUGGGCGUAAAGGGCGCGUAGGCGGUUAUUUAAGUUGGAUGUGAAAUCCCUGGGCUUAACCUAGGAACUGCAUUCAAUACUGGAUAACUGGAGUGCAGUAGAGGGUAGUGGAAUUUCCGGUGUAGCGGUGAAAUGCGUAGAUAUCGGAAGGAACACCAGUGGCGAAGGCGGCUACCUGGACUGACACUGACGCUGAGGCGCGAGAGCGUGGGGAGCAAACGGG
Molecule: ribosomal RNA, 253 nt
Filed under: uncultured bacterium
Lineage: Bacteria
Description: partial 16S ribosomal RNA
Rfam family: Bacterial small subunit ribosomal RNA
Source: RNAcentral